GUGCACGCUGGCGGUAGGCCUAACCCAUGCAAGUCGCACGGCAGCACAGUAAGAGCUUGCUCUUACGGGUGGCGAGUGGCGGACGGGUGAGGAAUACAUCGGAAUCUACUUUUUCGUGGGGGAUAACGUAGGGAAACUUACGCUAAUACCGCAUACGACCUACGGGUGAAAGCAGGGGAUCUUCGGACCUUGCGCGAUUGAAUGAGCCGAUGUCGGAUUAGCUAGUUGGCGGGGUAAAGGCCCACCAAGGCGACGAUCCGUAGCUGGUCUGAGAGGAUGAUCAGCCACACUGGAACUGAGACACGGUCCAGACUCCUACGGGAGGCAGCAGUGGGGAAUAUUGGACAAUGGGCGCAAGCCUGAUCCAGCCAUACCGCGUGGGUGAAGAAGGCCUUCGGGUUGUAAAGCCCUUUUGGUGGGAAAGAAAAGCAGCAGGUUAAUACCCCGCUGUUCUGACGGUACCCAAAGAAUAAGCACCGGCUAACUUCGUG
This 491-nucleotide ribosomal RNA is filed under the name uncultured bacterium. RNAcentral describes it as "partial 16S ribosomal RNA". It matches the Rfam family "Bacterial small subunit ribosomal RNA", at positions 29 to 507 of the family's 1533-position model. The record is from RNAcentral.